This 439-nucleotide ribosomal RNA is filed under the name uncultured bacterium. RNAcentral's name for it is "partial 16S ribosomal RNA". It matches the Rfam family "Bacterial small subunit ribosomal RNA", at positions 339 to 795 of the family's 1533-position model. The record is from RNAcentral.
CUACGGGGCGCACCAGUGAGGAAUAUUGCACAAUGGGGGAAACCCUGAUGCAGCAACGCCGCGUGGAGGAUGACGCAUUUCGGUGUGUAAACUCCUUUUAUGAGUCAAGAAAAUGACGGUAGCUCAUGAAUAAGCACCGGCUAACUCCGUGCCAGCAGCCGCGGUAAUACGGAGGGUGCAAGCGUUACUCGGAAUCACUGGGCGUAAAGGACGCGUAGGCGGGAGGUCAAGUCAGGUGUGAAAUCCUAUGGCUCAACCAUAGAACUGCACUUGAAACUGGCAACCUAGAGUAUGGGAGGGGGAGAUGGAAUUAGUGGUGUAGGGGUAAAAUCCGUAGAUAUCACUAGGAGUACCGAAAGCGAAGGCGAUCUCCUGGAACAUUACUGACGCUAAGGCGUGAAAGCGUGGGGAGCAAACAGGAUUAGAUACCCCCGUAGUC